This 413-nucleotide ribosomal RNA is filed under the name uncultured bacterium. Its description in RNAcentral is "bacterial SSU rRNA". It matches the Rfam family "Bacterial small subunit ribosomal RNA", at positions 355 to 787 of the family's 1533-position model. The record is from RNAcentral.
UGGGGAAUAUUGGACAAUGGGGGCAACCCUGAUCCAGCCAUGCCGCGUGAGUGAUGAAGGCCUUAGGGUUGUAAAGCUCUUCACCGGUGAAGAUAAUGACGGUAACCGGAGAAGAAGCCCCGGCUAACUUCGUGCCAGCAGCCGCGGUAAUACGAAGGGGGCUAGCGUUGUUCGGAAUUACUGGGCGUAAAGCGCACGUAGGCGGACCAUUAAGUCAGGGUGAAAUCCCGGAGCUCAACUCCGGAACUGCCUUUGAUACUGGUGGUCUAGAGACCGAGAGAGGUAAGUGGAACUCCUAGUGUAGAGGUGGAAUUCGUAGAUAUUAGGAAGAACACCAGUGGCGAAGGCGGCUUACUGGCUCGGAACUGACGCUGAGGUGCGAAAGCGUGGGGAGCAAACAGGAUUAGAUACCC